CUGAACGUAGCCGUGUCGAGCUCACCGUCUUGUCUUUUGGCCUCUUCCUCUCUCAGGUUAUUCAGCCUAACAAGAGAAGCAAAUAUAAGAAGUGCCAUGUCCAGUCAGUCCUGGAUAGAAUUUCCACGUGUCUGAAGUGAUUCGUGAACCACGUUUCUCUGUCGCAGUCUGGCAGCUCCUAAGUGGCCUUUACAAUACCCCUUGCCAUCUUCCUCCUUGGGUGGCUUAAUGUUUUCUUCACUGGGCCAACACGCUCAUCACGCACUUAACAGGGAACGGGUAUUUGUACUCCACGCUGACCUGCCUGCCUAGAACGAGCCUCCACAGCAACUCGGGAAAGUCCUGUCACUUCCUGUGGUGAGCUGUGUCCUCAGCCCCCUGUGGUGGGGGGAUGGUGCUCUUCAUGGGGCUGUGAAAGCAAAGCUACCUACAGAAGGCUUCGGUGGCACCUAGAGCAGAAAAUAGAAUUUUAACUCUGAAAUGGAGGAAGAUAAAAUUAUUAUCAAGGGGGCCCUCCCUGGUGGCACAACAGAUUAAAGCGCAGCACUUUGAAGUGAUCGACAGCCACUGCCGCACAAGUUCGAUUCCUGGCUCUAUCAAGUUACCUGCAGUUUGAUCCCCGGCCAGGGAGCUGA
This is a long non-coding RNA of Condylura cristata (star-nosed mole), 635 nucleotides long. RefSeq lists it as uncharacterized. Lineage: Eukaryota; Metazoa; Chordata; Mammalia; Eulipotyphla; Talpidae. The transcript has 4 exons. The record is from RefSeq and is a predicted model, not a curated record.